Molecule: ribosomal RNA, 448 nt
Filed under: uncultured bacterium
Lineage: Bacteria
Description: partial 16S ribosomal RNA
Rfam family: Bacterial small subunit ribosomal RNA
Source: RNAcentral
AACGAACGCUGGCGGCAGGCUUAACACAUGCAAGUCGAACGCAUCCUUCGGGGUGAGUGGCAGACGGGUGAGUAACGCGUGGGAACGUGCCCUUCAGUUCGGGAUAACCCAGGGAAACUUGGGCUAAUACCGGAUACGUGCGAGAGCAGAAAGAUUUAUCGCUGAAGGAUCGGCCCGCGUCUGAUUAGCUAGUUGGUGGGGUAAUGGCCCACCAAGGCGACGAUCAGUAGCUGGUCUGAGAGGAUGAUCAGCCACAUUGGACUGAGACACGGCCCAAACUCCUACGGGAGGCAGCAGUGGGGAAUAUUGGACAAUGGGCGCAAGCCUGAUCCAGCCAUGCCGCGUGAGUGAUGAAGGCCUUAGGGUUGUAAAGCUCUUUCGUCCGGGACGAUAAUGACGGUACCGGAAGAAGAAGCCUCGGCUAACUUCGUGCCAGCAGCCGCCGUAA